This 230-nucleotide long non-coding RNA is filed under the name Elaeis guineensis (African oil palm). Its description in RNAcentral is "long non-coding RNA (EGUI_LNC007037)". The record is from RNAcentral. Lineage: Eukaryota; Viridiplantae; Streptophyta; Magnoliopsida; Arecales; Arecaceae.
CAAUUAGCUAGACGAGCUCUAAUUAAUUGGAAUUUUGUAGGAGUUGGACUGAGAUCGCGCUGAGGGCAGGGUCCACUCUAAUAUUCGUGUUGAGUUAGUAUUUUACAUUUGGCCUAAACCUACAACUGUUUCUCCGUAAGUUGGAUCAAAUUUCCAGGUUCAAAUUAGCGUUUGUUCUACAAAUUGAAUUAAAUUAUUCUAGAAAAAUAAAAUAAAAUAAAAUAAACAAA